AUGGCACCUCAAAAGGGGAAGGAAAAGAAGGAAGAACAGGUCAUCAGCCUUGGACCUUGGGUGGGUGUAGGAGAGAAUGUAUUUGGUGUCUGCCAAAUUUUUGCAUCCUUCACUGACACUUUGGUCCAUGUCACUUUUGUCCAUGGCGAUCUUUCUGUCAAAGAAACGCUCUGCCGUGUUACUGGUGGGAUGUAGGUGAAGGCAGACCCAGAUGAAACCUUACCAUAAGCUGCCAUGCUGGCCACCCAGGAUGUGGCCCAGAGGUGCAAGGAGCUGGGCAUCACUGCCCUACACAUCAAACUCUGGGCCACAGGAGGAAACAGGAACAAGUCCCCUAGACCUGGGGCCCAGAUGUCCCUCAGAGCCCCUUGCCUGCUCAGGUAUGAAGAUCCGGCAGAUUGAAGAUGUCACUCCAUUUCCCCUCUGACAGCACUCCCAGGAAGGGGGGUCACCGUG
RNAcentral lists this long non-coding RNA (456 nucleotides) under Homo sapiens (human). RNAcentral's name for it is "non-protein coding lnc-METTL22-7:1". The record is from RNAcentral. Lineage: Eukaryota; Metazoa; Chordata; Mammalia; Primates; Hominidae.